GCGCCUAGUUUCCUCCCCCAAUGAGAACUUCACGAAAGAUCAAACGACCUCUUAGUCUGAGCUCGAAAGCACGCUCGGGCCGAGGAAGGCAAAAUACAUCAUCAAAAAGAGAAAGAGAGGAAGAAUGGCGACAAAAAAGGAGCUCACAACCAUGAUUGCGGAGCUCUGGAAGGAGGAGAUGAGCAUCCCCAAACAAAGGAGGGGGAAGAAUCCUCCAUGUAGUUCUGACAAUGAGGCUUCUUUCAACUUCACAUGCCCAAACCCCCA
Molecule: long non-coding RNA, 267 nt
Filed under: Elaeis guineensis (African oil palm)
Lineage: Eukaryota; Viridiplantae; Streptophyta; Magnoliopsida; Arecales; Arecaceae
Description: long non-coding RNA (EGUI_LNC014797)
Source: RNAcentral